This is a small nuclear RNA of Balaenoptera ricei (Rice's whale), 103 nucleotides long. The record is from RefSeq and is a predicted model, not a curated record. NCBI's taxonomy places the organism in Eukaryota, Metazoa, Chordata, Mammalia, Artiodactyla, Balaenopteridae.
GCUCACUUUGGCAGCAUAUACUAAAAUUGGAAUGAUACAGAGAAGAUUAGCACAGCCCCUGCACAAGGAUGACGCAUAAAUUAGUGAAGUGUUCUAUAUUAAA